RNAcentral lists this ribosomal RNA (464 nucleotides) under Staphylococcus condimenti. RNAcentral describes it as "bacterial SSU rRNA". It matches the Rfam family "Bacterial small subunit ribosomal RNA", at positions 54 to 500 of the family's 1533-position model. The record is from RNAcentral. Lineage: Bacteria; Bacillati; Bacillota; Bacilli; Caryophanales; Staphylococcaceae.
CAUGCAAGUCGAGCGAACAGAUGAGGAGCUUGCUCCUCUGACGUUAGCGGCGGACGGGUGAGUAACACGUGGGUAACCUACCUAUAAGACUGGAAUAACUCCGGGAAACCGGGGCUAAUGCCGGAUAAUAUGCGGAACCGCAUGGUUCUGCAAUGAAAGACGGUCUUGCUGUCACUUAUAGAUGGACCCGCGCCGUAUUAGCUAGUUGGUAAGGUAACGGCUUACCAAGGCAACGAUACGUAGCCGACCUGAGAGGGUGAUCGGCCACACUGGAACUGAGACACGGUCCAGACUCCUACGGGAGGCAGCAGUAGGGAAUCUUCCGCAAUGGGCGAAAGCCUGACGGAGCAACGCCGCGUGAGUGAUGAAGGUCUUCGGAUCGUAAAACUCUGUUAUUAGGGAAGAACAAGUGCGUAGGUAACUAUGCGCACCUUGACGGUACCUAAUCAGAAAGCCACGGCUAA